GUCAGCAGAUAUCACUGCCUAUACCACCUGCAUGAAACCAGCUGGUCGCCCAGAGCUGGAUGAGUCUAUGGUGAUGCAAGCUCGGCCUGCCACUUCAUCUUGGGACCCAGUUGAAGCAACUUUUCCUGACAACCCGGAGGUGAUGCCAUCCGCCGCAUGCUACGGCGAGUGGCAACUAAUGAGCUGCUGACACAUUAUAGCCUGCGGGGAAGAAAGACAAAGGCCUUCCA
Long non-coding RNA from Etheostoma spectabile (orangethroat darter), 230 nucleotides. RefSeq lists it as uncharacterized. The record is from RefSeq and is a predicted model, not a curated record. Lineage: Eukaryota; Metazoa; Chordata; Actinopteri; Perciformes; Percidae. The transcript is spliced from 3 exons.